RNAcentral lists this transfer RNA (69 nucleotides) under Mycobacterium terrae. RNAcentral's name for it is "Mycolicibacter terrae tRNA-Ser(cag)". The record is from RNAcentral. Lineage: Bacteria; Bacillati; Actinomycetota; Actinomycetes; Mycobacteriales; Mycobacteriaceae.
CCGGUGGUGGCGCGGGUGUUGUCGGCGUUCAGGCCGCCCAGCCCACCGUUACCGCCGGCGCCACCGGCC